CCUACGGGCGGCAGCAGUGGGGAAUAUUGGACAAUGGGCGAAAGCCUGAUCCAGCCAUGCCGCGUGUGUGAAGAAGGCCUUCGGGUUGUAAAGCACUUUCAGUGGGGAAGAAAGCCUUGGGGCUAAUACCCUCGAGGAAGGACAUCACCCACAGAAGAAGCACCGGCUAACUCCGUGCCAGCAGCCGCGGUAAUACGGAGGGUGCGAGCGUUAAUCGGAAUUACUGGGCGUAAAGCGCGCGUAGGCGGUUUGAUAAGCCGGUUGUGAAAGCCCCGGGCUCAACCUGGGAACGGCAUCCGGAACUGUCAGGCUAGAGUGCAGGAGAGGAAGGUAGAAUUCCCGGUGUAGCGGUGAAAUGCGUAGAGAUCGGGAGGAAUACCAGUGGCGAAGGCGGCCUUCUGGACUGACACUGACGCUGAGGUGCGAAAGCGUGGGUAGCAAACAGGAUUAGAUACCCUAGUGUC
Molecule: ribosomal RNA, 464 nt
Filed under: Vreelandella stevensii
Lineage: Bacteria; Pseudomonadati; Pseudomonadota; Gammaproteobacteria; Oceanospirillales; Halomonadaceae
Description: partial 16S ribosomal RNA
Rfam family: Bacterial small subunit ribosomal RNA
Source: RNAcentral